GAUGAACGCUGGCGGCGUGCCUAAUACAUGCAAGUCGAGCGAACAGACGAGGAGCUUGCUCCUCUGACGUUAGCGGCGGACGGGUGAGCAACACGUGGAUAACCUACCUAUAAGACUGGGAUAACUUCGGGAAACCGGAGCUAAUACCGGAUAAUAUAUUGAACCGCAUGGUUCAAUAGUGAAAGACGGUUUUGCUGUCACUUAUAGAUGGAUCCGUGCCGCAUUAGCUAGUUGGUAAGGUAACGGCUUACCAAGGCAACGAUGCGUAGCCGACCUGAGAGGGUGAUCGGCCACACUGGAACUGAGACACGGUCCAGACUCCUACGGGAGGCAGCAGUAGGGAAUCUUCCGCAAUGGGCGAAAGCCUGACGGAGCAACGCCGCGUGAGUGAUGAAGGUCUUCGGAUCGUAAAACUCUGUUAUUAGGGAAGAACAAAUGUGUAAGUAACUAUGCACGUCUUGACGGUACCUAAUCAGAAAGCCACGGCUAACUACGUG
Molecule: ribosomal RNA, 497 nt
Filed under: uncultured bacterium
Lineage: Bacteria
Description: partial 16S ribosomal RNA
Rfam family: Bacterial small subunit ribosomal RNA
Source: RNAcentral